CCGGUCCCAUCCCGAACCCGGAAGCUAAGCCCUCCAGCGCCGAUGGUACUGCACUCGCCAGGGUGUGGGAGAGUAGGUCGCCGCCGACA
RNAcentral lists this ribosomal RNA (89 nucleotides) under Pseudonocardia sp. SCN 72-51. RNAcentral also lists the same sequence under 1 other name. The record is from RNAcentral. Lineage: Bacteria; Bacillati; Actinomycetota; Actinomycetes; Pseudonocardiales; Pseudonocardiaceae.